Long non-coding RNA from Lathyrus oleraceus (garden pea), 264 nucleotides. RefSeq lists it as uncharacterized. The transcript has 3 exons. The record is from RefSeq and is a predicted model, not a curated record. NCBI's taxonomy places the organism in Eukaryota, Viridiplantae, Streptophyta, Magnoliopsida, Fabales, Fabaceae.
UAGCAAGAUUGUGCAUCCAGCCAUUGACAUAUUCAUCUUUCUGAUUUGUGAUUACUCUCUUGAUCGUGGAUCCUUUGCUUUGUUACUUUUGCAGGACUGACAGUGCUAUUAAGUUUGGAUGGUUUUUCAUGUUUUACCUGCUUCACAUUGGAUUCUGUAUCUUAGCUGCAGUUGCUCCUCCUAUAGUUUUCAAAGGAAAAUCCUUGACAGGCAUUCUGUCAGCCAUAGAUGUAGUUGGUGACUAUACUUUGGUUGGGGUAAGUA